AUAGUCUCCUCAGAUGGAAUCUUUUUGAUAUAGAUGUGGAGAAUUGAUUUUCAUCUGAAACUGAGGUAUCGAUACAGGGGACUCCAAAAAUUGGAACAAGAUCCUGCAAAAAGUUCUGAUCGAAGUGUUCUCUGAUGGAGACCCUUCGAUACUCAAAUUAGUGGGGAGAUGAAAAACAAAGAGAGAGGAAAAAAGAUCUUUCGAGAGCUUAUCUUGGAUCCCCGCUCCCCUCUAUCUAU
Molecule: long non-coding RNA, 239 nt
Filed under: Elaeis guineensis (African oil palm)
Lineage: Eukaryota; Viridiplantae; Streptophyta; Magnoliopsida; Arecales; Arecaceae
Description: long non-coding RNA (EGUI_LNC010256)
Source: RNAcentral